GUUACUGCUAUCGGUGUUCGCCUAAGCCAUGCGAGUCAUAUGUAGCAAUACAUGGCGUACUGCUCAGUAACACGUGGAUAACCUGCCCUUGGGUCCGGCAUAACCCCGGGAAACUGGGGAUAAUUCCGGAUAACGCGCAUAUGCUGGAAUGCUUUACGCGUAAAAUGGAUUCGUCUGCCCAAGGAUGGGUCUGCGGCCUAUCAGGUAGUAGUGGGUGUAAUGUACCUACUAGCCUACGACGGGUACGGGUUGUGAGAGCAAGAGCCCGGAGAUGGAUUCUGAGACAUGAAUCCAGGCCCUACGGGGCGCAGCAGGCGCGAAAACUUUACAAUGCGGGAAACCGUGAUAAGGGGACACCGAGUGCCAGCAUCCUAUGCUGGCUGUCCGGGUGUGUAAAAUACACCUGUUAGCAAGGGCCGGGCAAGACCGGUGCCAGCCGCCGCGGUAACACCGGCGGCCCGAGUGGUGAUCGUGAUUAUUGGGUCUAAAGGGUCCGUAGCC
RNAcentral lists this ribosomal RNA (501 nucleotides) under uncultured archaeon. Its description in RNAcentral is "bacterial SSU rRNA". It matches the Rfam family "Archaeal small subunit ribosomal RNA", at positions 23 to 526 of the family's 1478-position model. The record is from RNAcentral.